This 241-nucleotide ribosomal RNA is filed under the name uncultured Actinomycetales bacterium. RNAcentral describes it as "partial 16S ribosomal RNA". It matches the Rfam family "Bacterial small subunit ribosomal RNA", at positions 89 to 334 of the family's 1533-position model. Lineage: Bacteria; Bacillati; Actinomycetota; Actinomycetes; Actinomycetales. The record is from RNAcentral.
ACUCGAGUGGCGAACGGGUGUGUAACACGUGGGUGAUCUGCCCUGCACUUCGGGAUAAGCUUGGGAAACUGGGUCUAAUACCGGAUAGGAGCCAUCUUUAGUGUGGUGGUUGGAAAGUUUUUCGGUGUAGGAUGAGCUCGCGGCCUAUCAGCUUGUUGGUGGGGUAAUGGCCUACCAAGGCGUCGACGGGUAGCCGGCCUGAGAGGGUGGACGGCCACAUUGGGACUGAGAUACGGCCCAG